UAGUGCUUCAAACAUGAAAACUACGGUUUUCGGCGCAUGUAGUAUGGAAAAAAAAUUCAAAUUUCAUAUU
This is a long non-coding RNA of Bradysia coprophila, 70 nucleotides long. Lineage: Eukaryota; Metazoa; Arthropoda; Insecta; Diptera; Sciaridae. The record is from RefSeq and is a predicted model, not a curated record.